GAUGAACGCUGGCGGCGUGCCUAAUACAUGCAAGUCGAGCGAACAGACGAGGAGCUUGCUCCUCUGACGUUAGCGGCGGACGGGUGAGUAACACGUGGAUAAACUACCUAUAAGACUGGGAUAACUUCGGGAAACCGGAGCUCAUACCGGAUAAUAUAUUGAACCGCAUGGUUCAAUAGUGAAAGACGGUUUUGCUGUCACUUAUAGAUGGAUCCGCGCCGCAUUAGCUAGUUGGUAAGGUAAAGGCUUACCAAGGCAACGAUGCGUAGCCGACCUGAGAGGGUGAUCGGCCACACUGGAACUGUGACACGGUCCAGACUCCUACGGGAGGCAGCAGUAGGGAAUCUUCCGCAAUGGGCGAAAGCCUGACGGAGCAACGCCGCGUGAGUGAUGAAGGUCUUCGGAUCGUAAAACUCUGUUAUUAGGGAAGAACAAAUGUGUAAGUAACUAUGCACGUCUUGACGGUACCUAAUCAGAAAGCCACGGCUAACUACGUG
RNAcentral lists this ribosomal RNA (497 nucleotides) under uncultured bacterium. Its description in RNAcentral is "partial 16S ribosomal RNA". It matches the Rfam family "Bacterial small subunit ribosomal RNA", at positions 28 to 507 of the family's 1533-position model. The record is from RNAcentral.